CUGAUUUAUGGAGCUGUACUGGGACUGUCUGGGACAGAAUUAACAUUCCCCACAGUAGCCCCUAGGGUGCUGUGCUCUGCACUUAGAGCUAGAACUCCACUGCCAUCGCAACAAUGUUUGGGCAAUUAUGGACCAGCGCUGGCACAACAUCAAGAUUCUUUCUCCAACACCUCCAAAGCCAGGAAGUGGAGGGUUGGCAAAAGGAGGGAGGGGACAUCACCAUGGCAGCUGACCCAUAUCAUCCAAAGGGAUAUUCCAUACCAUGUGAUGUCACACUCAGCAAUAAAAGGCAGGAAAGGGGAAGGAAAGCGGGGAGCUCUCAUUAUGAAGACAUCUGUCCUCCCAAACAAUCGCUAUGAGUAUUAAGGCCCUGCUUGCCAGGAGAUGGCCAAACAUCACUUUUUGAGAGGAAGUAGAGAAUAAUUUUCUUUUCUCUCUGUGCUUCUGUGCAGCCCUUGCUUAUUUCUCUCUCUUACUUUUCCCUUAUAUUAAUUUUUUUUCUUCUCACCCUCUUCUGAUGAGGGGGAGUAAGAGAGUGGUUGUGGUGGAGCUCACCAAGGAACAUAAGACAGACCACUUGUCAGGGCAAGGCACAUGCUGCAGAUCCUGUUCCUGCUGAGAUUCACUGGCAUUGUUAUCUUUGGAGAUUUUCUGGGCUUUUGUGUAAUUCUUCUUUGAAAUGGAGAACUCUAAUCAUUGAACAACAACACGUUGCUUCACUCCUACAGACUUGCCACAUGCACACUACCACGUGCCAAAGGAUGUGGACAGCACAGCUCUGGACAGCACAGCAGAGCUCUGUGCCUAUUCAGGCAAGCUGCCAUGCAGAACCCAAACUUCUCCAUGAACAAUCUCAGUGGGGAAGACUGCCCUGACAUCAGCCAUGGCCAAACAGUGCCUGUGCAGAAGAGAGAAGAGAAGGCAGAUGUAGCUGGGGAAGUGAGGACCCCACUGGGAGAGGAGACAAGAGCAGCCCCUGCACAUGAUGCGGCUCCCAGAGUUCCCCUGACUGUGACAAUCCUCAGAGGUUGCUCCUGCUGGAGGAGGGAGAAACCCCAGGGAGCAUUUGGGGCACAGUCAGACCAGAAUAUAUCUUGUCACUGAAUCUGCCCUUGUUCCCCCAGCAGAGUCAUUUCCGGCAGCUCUGUUCUCUUGGGGCUGGGAGGUGCUUUUCUGACUCUCUCCCACAGCAAACAGGAGGAUCGGUCUCAGCAUGCACCGUGGGUAUCUCAUCUUCACUGCCUUCCUGGAGCUCCUGCUGGAAACCACGGGGCAGGUGUCCGUCAUCCAGCAAGAAGGACAAGUCACCGUGGAGCAGGGAAACACCUUCCAGACCAAUUGCACAUAUGAAACCUCCAACUUUAAUGGCUUGCUCUGGUACCAGCAGAAGAAGGGACAAGCCCCUCAGCUGAUUACACGUCAAGCAGGAGCAGGCACCAAGCAGAAGGACCGUCUCACCACGGAGCUGAACACUGAGAGGAAAUCCAGUGUUCUGCAUCUGAAGGAAGUCGAGCUUUCUGACAGCGCCUUGUACUUCUGUUCUGUGAGUGACACCCUGGUGCAGGAAGGUGCCCUGGCUGUGCAACAACUCUGGAUGUGGAGGGGACUUGUUCUCCAGAAGGAUUCUGUCAUUUCCAAGACAAUUGUGAAUCUCCAAAUUGUGAAUAUGCUCCUCCAUCUCAGACUUCAGUGUUAGCCAGGAGAUAAUUCUGGCUCAGAAGCACCUAUUGAUUAUUGCUCUAACCCAAGCAAUGGAUGUGUUACGCGUAGAAAGUCUCGGUCCCAGUGUGAGAGCUGGGCCGGGGCUAAUACCUGAUAGGCCAGACUCCAGAGAGGCCUGGAUGAAGGCUCCAUCCAGUGAUGGCCCUGCACCACCUAAGAGGCUGGCUAGGCCAAGCUGACAAGAUUUGGCCAGCCCAGGCACAGGCACACAGGCAGCAGAGCUGGGGCAAUGCCAUGCUAGGCCUGAGCAUGAGCAGAGUCUUUGGACUAGGGGCCAAGAGUCCUUGUGAAAGUAAAGCACCCCCACACCACAGGGCCCCGAGGUGUGCAACUAUGGGAAGGCCCUCACCUGGGUGUGGAGAGCAGUGGGGCUACAUGGAGCACAAGGGCCACAUCAUCCUCAUGGCUCUGGGAACGCCAGAGGAGCUUGGUGCCUGGGAGAAGAUCCCCCAGCGUGUGCCCUGUGGUUGGGCUGGUGCAUACCCUGUGACAUUCAGGGCCCAUACACAGAUCUUGCUGAGUGCACAAUCAGGUCCCAUUCUCACUGCUAUGUCUCAGCAGAGACUCUGGGAUCCCUGCCCCCACAGAAUGUCUUUUCUGGAGCAUGGUGCAAUUGUGCCACCUAUGAGGUCUCUGAAUUCCAGGGCCUGAUGAAAGCUGAUCCAUGCUUGGGGAAAAUA
Anas platyrhynchos (mallard) is the source of this 2402-nucleotide non-coding RNA. The record is from the annotation of a RefSeq genome assembly. NCBI's taxonomy places the organism in Eukaryota, Metazoa, Chordata, Aves, Anseriformes, Anatidae.